Molecule: ribosomal RNA, 609 nt
Filed under: uncultured bacterium
Lineage: Bacteria
Description: bacterial SSU rRNA
Rfam family: Bacterial small subunit ribosomal RNA
Source: RNAcentral
CGAACGGAAGAGAAAGAGCUUGCUCUUUUGAUUCUAGUGGCAAACGGGUGAGUAACACGUAAACACCUGCCUUCAGGAUGGGGACAACAGACGGAAACGACUGCUAAUACCGAAUACCUCCGCAUGGAGAAAGGUGGCCUUCUUGAAGCUAUCGCCUGAAGAGGGGUUUGCGUCUGAUUAGCUAGUUGGUGAGGUAACGGCCCACCAAGGCGACGAUCAGUAGCCGGUCUGAGAGGAUGAACGGCCACACUGGAACUGAGACACGGUCCAGACUCCUACGGGAGGCAGCAGUGGGGAAUCUUCCGCAAUGGACGAAAGUCUGACGGAGCAACGCCGCGUGAACGAUGAAGGUCUUCGGAUUGUAAAGUUCUGUGAUCCGGGACGAAGCAUUGAUUGAGAAUAUUGAUUGAUGUUGACGGUACCGGAAAAGCAAGCCACGGCUAACUACGUGCCAGCAGCCGCGGUAAUACGUAGGUGGCAAGCGUUGUCCGGAAUUAUUGGGCGUAAAGCGCGCGCAGGCGGCCGUGCAAGUCUAUCUUAAAAGCGUGGGGCUUAACCCCAUGAGGGGAUGGAAACUGCAGGGCUGGAGUGUCGGAGGGGAAAGUGGAA